GACGUAGGGCGCGAGCGUUGUCCGGAUUUAUUGGGCGUAAAGAGCUCGUAGGCGGCUUGUCGCGUCGAAUGUGAAAACUCGGGGCUCAACUCCGAGCUUGCAUUCGAUACGGGCAGGCUAGAGUUCGGUAGGGGAGACUGGAAUUCCUGGUGUAGCGGUGAAAUGCGCAGAUAUCAGGAGGAACACCGAUGGCGAAGGCAGGUCUCUGGGCAUUAACUGACGCUGAGGAGCGAAAGCAUGGGGAGCGAACAGG
This 253-nucleotide ribosomal RNA is filed under the name uncultured bacterium. Its description in RNAcentral is "partial 16S ribosomal RNA". It matches the Rfam family "Bacterial small subunit ribosomal RNA", at positions 524 to 776 of the family's 1533-position model. The record is from RNAcentral.